Heterocephalus glaber (naked mole-rat) is the source of this 5048-nucleotide long non-coding RNA. NCBI's taxonomy places the organism in Eukaryota, Metazoa, Chordata, Mammalia, Rodentia, Bathyergidae. The record is from Ensembl.
GUUAACUGUUACUCAAUUGCAGAUGUUUUUCUUUACCAGUAGCAUGAGGGAAAAUCGUGCAGAAAUGUAAAUUCCUACUUCAAGGCUGUGGAGCCUGGAGCCUCCCUUGCCUAGUUCUUUCUCCCCAGUUUCUGAGAGCAAGACCUUGUCCCUCCGGGUGUCCCUCAGGGUGUGGAUUCAGUUACCCAAUGAGCUGUCUGGUCCUCCACCACAUGUUCUCUGAAGCCCCUCACUGCUGGGCCUGCCUCGCGUGGGGGCAGAUGUGACCUUAGUGUGCCCACCAGGAGUGAGGAGAGGGAAGACGCCUCCCUUGCGUGGUGGAACAGGCGUUGAAGAAAGGAGACUUGCAGAUGAUCUUUCUCUUUUCACGUGUGGGACCUCAGGGAGCCCGCCCGUCAUGUGCAGGGGAGGCCCAGGAGCUCGGUGCUGAACAUGCUCAGGAGGCUGGACAGGAUCAGGUUCAGAGGCCCCAAGAGAGAGGACUGCCUGGACCUGGCAGAGUCGCCCAAUGCCUCGGACACUGAGUGCGCUGACGAGCUGCCCCUGAAGACACCUCGGACCUCGCCCGAGACGGCCAGGAGCUCAGGGACCCUGCAGGUCCAGGGACCCUCAUCAUGGCCACUGGGGCGCCAGACUUCAUCCGCACAGAGUCUGAUCGCCUGAACGAGAUCAAGGGUCACCUGGAAAUCGCCUUACUGGAGAAGCACUUCCUGCAGGAGGAGCUCCGGAAGCUCCGGGAGGAAACCAACUCGGAGAUGCUGAGGCAAGAGCUGGACCGGGAGCGGCAGCGGCGGCUGGAGCUGGAACAGAAGAUGCAGGAGGUGCUGAAGGCCAGAGCCGAGGAGCAGACUGCGCAGGUCCAACAGCCGCUAAAGAGCCAGAGCCAGGCCGGCAAUGGAGCAGAACGCCGCAGCCAGGGCCUGUCCUCCCGAGCACAGAAGUGGUUCUAUGAGAGGUUCUGGGGAGUACCUGGAGGGAUUUCCGCUUUCAGCCCGAGGAGAACACCGUGGAGACCGAGGAACCCCUCAGUGCCCGCAGGUUAACGGAGAACAUGAGGCGGCUGAGUGACGGGGCCAAGCCUGUCACUAACUUCGUGAGGAACCUUUCUGCCUUAUCUGACUGGUACUCCGUCUACACCUCUGCCAUCGCCUUCACGGUGUACAUGAACGCCGCGUGUGGCACGGCUGGGCCAUCCCCAUGUUUCUGUUUCUAGCAAUUCUGAGGCUGUCCCUCAAUUACCUCAUCGCCAGGGGCUGGCGGAUACAGUGGAGCAUCGUGCCAGAAGUGUCUGAAGCUGUGGAACCUCCAAAGGAAGACCUGACCGUGUCCGAGAAGUUCCAGCUGGUGCUGGACGUCGCCCAGAAAGCCCAGAAUCUCUUUGGCAAGAUGGCAGACAUCCUGGAAAAGAUCAAGAACCUGUUCAUGUGGGUGCAGCCCGAGAUCACGCAGAAGCUGUACAUUGCACUGUGGGCUGCCUUCCUGGCCUCCUGCUUCUUCCCCUACCGCCUGGUGGGGCUCACCGUGGGGCUCUAUGCUGGCGUCAAGUUUUUCCUCAUCGAUUUCAUCUUCAAACGCUGCCCCCGGCUGCGAGGCCAAGUAUGACACGCCCUACAUCAUCUGGCGGAGCCUCCCCACGGACCCCCAGCUCAAGGAGCGUGCGGGUGCCACUGUGUCACGCAGGUUGCAGACAGCCGCGUCUAGGAGCUACGUCUCCAGUGCACCAGCCGGCUUGAGCAAGGAUGAGGAUGCUGGUCGCUUCCACAGUACCAAGAAGGGCAAUUUCCACGAAAUCUUCAACUUGACCGAAAAUGAGCGUCCACUGGCAGUGUGUGAGAACGGUUGGCGCUGCUGCCUGAUAAACCGAGACCGGAAGAUGCCCACGGACUACAUCAGGAAUGGGGUUCUGUAUGUGACAGAGAAUUACUUAUGCUUUGAAAGCUCCAAAUCCGGGUCCUCAAAGAGGAACAAGGUCAUCAAGCUGGUAGACAUCACAGACAUCCAGAAGUACAAGGUCCUGUCUGUCCUCCGGGCUCAGGCAUGGGGAUUGCUGUAUCGACGCCAUCAACCCAGAAAGUAAGUGGCAGGCGGGUGGCUGUGACUGGUCCAGGUGGGUCGGGGGGCUCAGCUCUUGCCAUGCCUGGGCCUGGCCAUGGCUUCAGCCCGGGCAGGGAGCUGCAGACUGCUACAUCCGGUCUGCAUCCAGCGAUCACAGCCCUUGGGCGGUAGAGUCCCAGGACAGAUGAAUACUCAGGAAGGGGGGCGGCAAGCCUGGAGCCCAGGUUCCCCACUUCUUACCUCGGUUUCUCUGAGCCUUCUGGGUAGGACCCUGCACAGCUGCUUGGUGCUCAGCUUGGGGUCACCAUCUUGGUCCCAACCUUGCAGUGGGCAGUGCUCACAGGCAGCGUUUCCCCCAGCCGCUGGUGUUCGAGGCGCCAUGGUGCACAGAGACGAGGCCUUCGAGACCAUUUUCAGCCAAUAUGUGAAGAUCACGUCUGCAUCAGCCUCGGGUGGGAAAGCUAGUACUGAGCCCUGGGUGCCACUGGAAUCUUUUUAACAGUCGGUGUGGGACAGAGUGGACAGCCUCAUGACCCUUUGCAAUAAUUCCCUGACCUAUGGUUUCUGUUGCGUGGCUGGAUUCACACACAGAGGCUGGGGCUCAGGAGGAGGUGCCACUGCCCCCUGGCAGGCGCGUGUGGCACCUUAGUGGGGACGCGGCUGGGCGGAGGGGGCCGCAGGGCUCAUUGAGAGGAUGACACGCAGGACUUCACUGACCGGGCCUACCAAGCACAGCUCCUUGUUCUCCAUCCCGCCUGGGUAGAGACUGACACCGGCCACCCCAGGAGGCUCUCGUGACCCCUCGUUCCCUGCUUUGCAGAGGCCAGGAGCUGCCCCACCAAAGCCAUAGCUGAGUGCCUCCAUGGUCCUCUCCUGCUGGGGUCAGGGAAGGAGUGGAAUCGGGGCCCCUGUACCAGCUGCCCAGAAAAGGCCAGCAGGUCUCCCUCAACCUUCAGCACUUGUCCUUAAAGCUCCAGGCCCUGGGCCUGGGGACAGGGUUGUCUUCCGUGGGAGCAGUGAGGCUGGGCAUAUUUGGAGGCACUUCCCUCUCACCUGCUAUGGUAGAUGAAGCCUGGAGGCUUGAGGUUGACUGGGAAGGGUACAGAAUGCCAUGUGGGUAAAAGCACAUCUCUAACACUGCUCCUCCGAGAGGCCCUGGAGGACGUCAGGAAGGCUGUGGGGUGCUCUGAGCUGUGGCUGCUCUCAGGUGAAAAUCAACAGUCUGGCCGGCACUGGGCCCUCUGGCUGCAACCACCCAGGUAGGCGUGGUUGAGGAUGGCCUGGGCUUUGUGGCCCACAGAGGCCCAGGCUGCAGAUGCCCUGCCUGUGGGGCCAUCAGGAGCUCCUGGGAGGACCCUCUGCUGUAGGGGUGGCUGUGAGCAGAUUCCAGUGUGGGGCCAGGGCCACCCUGCAUCCCUGACAGCUGACAGUACUCCCCCACCCCCGGGGGUGCCCAGCAGUGCCAGGCUGGGCACAAACCACCCUCAGCCUGCCCCGCCCUGGGGCUGCGCACACUUGCAGGGUGAACUCUGGCUCCGUAGAGGAAGCCGGAGAGUGUGUCUCCCACGCUUGGUUUACCCUGGGGCCGUGCGCCCACAGAUGGAUUUGAACUGCAAAGAAGCCGACAUUGAGUCCUGGGACAGGCUUGGCCUCCCAAGGCCGCACCACAUGUGGUCUGUAUGCUUUCUGAGCAGUCUCUCCAGUUCUUCAGCUUGUCCUGGGUCUUUCGAGGUGUCUCUGAGAUUGUUUUUGAAGAAACAGAUUAUAUUUUUUACAGAGAGCAAGCUGUUUUUCUUAUUUUUGUAUCAUUUUUCAAAUGGAAUUUUUACCUUUGCUCUGAAUCCUCGUUGGCUGGCUUGGGAGUGGACGCAGUGGUGUGGGCUGGUGACCCCUUCCUGGAGGCUGCAGGGUUGCCCGUGGUGUGGGGACGCGGCACAAACAGCCAGGUCAGGCACACAGGCCACACCAGGCUCCACAGAUGGUACCACCACACCCUUGUUGUUGAAGGCAGAGCCCCCCUGGCAUGGCUCACCUGGCAGCAGACCCAGCUCUCAAGUGCAUGGGGUUAGGUGGGGCCCAGGAGGACCCCAAGGGGAGGUGGAGGGGGCCUGACCUGUUCUGGGUGCAGGUGUAUGGGUGAUGUCCAUGGGUGAUGGUCAGACCUGUCCCCUGGCCCUGGCAGUGCCAGGGCGGGUGCUGGGAACGUGCUAUCAGUGAGCACUUCCUGUGGACACACUGGGAUGCUGUCCAAAGCACCAUGGGGAGGGGCUGGGCGGACAGGGCUUCUUCAAAGACCGUGUGGUUUAGUUUGAGUCCCUUUCUCGGAGAAGGGCGAUGAAGACUGGCCAUGGCCUGCUGGAUGCAGCGCCCAGUGUGUGGGGGAGGCCAGUGUCACCCCAAGUUGCACAGCUAGGAAGUAGCAGGUUCUUCAGUGGACCCCGGGGGCUGGGCUGGGCUAGGACAGGGGCCUGUGCAGGCCCUGGUCUCGUCAGAGACCACAGUUCUGUGGAAGUGUACAUCUGGGCUAUAUUUAAUUUCUAUGACUAAUCACUGAACUAGAACGUUAAAUUUUGAAUGUCUGAAGCUUGAGUCUAUUUUGGAUCUGUACAUAAUUGUUACCAGUGUAACUUUUGUUCAACAAAAGGAUUGUACUGUAUGAAGAAUCGAUGAAAAAACUUGUCACAUUUUUUUAAGAGAAAAACCUUGUUUAAAGAAAAAGUCUUGUAUAAAUUAUAAUUUUUAUUUAAAUAAACCCUAAAACGCUUUGUGCUAAAGCUCAGGCCCUCUGCUUUCUUGGCAGGGUGUGGGCUGCUGGAGCAGGCUGGGCAGCUCCCAGGCCCCGCAGGACCCCAGGGGCAACGAGGACGUGGAGCCACCUGGAGCCUCUUUGAGCCUCGAUGGGUUAAGGUUGAGGGGGAGGCAGGUGCUGGGCCGCAGUGGAGGCCAGAUGGUGAGGGGCACUGGCAGAAGGGCAAGGCUGGCACUGGAGUGGG